This 261-nucleotide unclassified non-coding RNA is filed under the name uncultured fungus. RNAcentral describes it as "sequence contains ITS2". Lineage: Eukaryota; Fungi. The record is from RNAcentral.
UUGAUUCUCAAUCCCAACAUCUCUCACGCCUCGCGGCGCGAGGGGUCUGUAUUUGGGGAUUGGAUCGUGGCCUGCCUGCCGUCCCCGGUUCGUCCGGAGGACAGCUCGGCCGAAAUAUAGACAAGUGAUGGCACCCAAGCGUGUUGACCGGCUUGAACUCGACGUUGUAAUUGCUUCCCUCGUUGAGCUACGGUUUGCGCGUCCUGGCCUCGGCCUGGAAUAUUUGGGCUCACUUUGAAACAUAACCUCACUACUGAGCAA